AUUGAACACUGGCGGCAUGCCUUACACAUGCAAGUCGAACGGUAACGGGCCUUCGGGUGCCGACGAGUGGCGAACGGGUGAGUAAUGCAUCGGAACGUACCUUUCAGUGGGGGAUAACGUAGCGAAAGUUACGCUAAUACCGCAUAUUCUGUGAGCAGGAAAGCAGGGGAUCGCAAGACCUUGCGCUGAUUGAGCGGCCGAUGUCAGAUUAGCUAGUUGGUGAGGUAAAGGCUCACCAAGGCGACGAUCUGUAGCGGGUCUGAGAGGAUGAUCCGCCACACUGGAACUGAGACACGGUCCAGACUCCUACGGGAGGCAGCAGUGGGGAAUUUUGGACAAUGGGCGCAAGCCUGAUCCAGCAAUGCCGCGUGCAGGAAGAAGGCCUUCGGGUUGUAAACUGCUUUUGUACGGUAACGAAACGGUCUGGGUUAAUACCCUGGGCUAA
Molecule: ribosomal RNA, 445 nt
Filed under: uncultured bacterium
Lineage: Bacteria
Description: bacterial SSU rRNA
Rfam family: Bacterial small subunit ribosomal RNA
Source: RNAcentral